RNAcentral lists this ribosomal RNA (253 nucleotides) under uncultured bacterium. RNAcentral's name for it is "partial 16S ribosomal RNA". It matches the Rfam family "Bacterial small subunit ribosomal RNA", at positions 524 to 776 of the family's 1533-position model. The record is from RNAcentral.
UACAGAGGUGGCAAGCGUUGUUCGGAAUUACUGGGCGUAAAGGGCGUGUAGGCGGCCUUCUAAGUCAGACGUGAAAUCCCCCGGCUUAACCUGGGAACUGCGUCUGAUACUGGGAGGCUUGAGUAUGGGAGAGGGAUGUAGAAUUCCAGGUGUAGCGGUGAAAUGCGUAGAUAUCUGGAGGAAUACCGGUGGCGAAGGCGGCAUCCUGGACCAUUACUGACGCUGAGGCGCGAAAGCUAGGGGAGCAAACGGG